This 497-nucleotide ribosomal RNA is filed under the name uncultured bacterium. Its description in RNAcentral is "partial 16S ribosomal RNA". It matches the Rfam family "Bacterial small subunit ribosomal RNA", at positions 28 to 507 of the family's 1533-position model. The record is from RNAcentral.
GAUGAACGCUGGCGGCGUGCCUAAUACAUGCAAGUCGAGCGAACGGACGAGAAGCUUGCUUCUCUGAUGUUAGCGGCGGACGGGUGAGUAACACGUGGAUAACCUACCUAUAAGACUGGGAUAACUUCGGGAAACCGUAGCUAAUACCGGAUAAUAUUUUGAACCGCAUGGUUCAAAAGUGAAAGACGGUCUUGCUGUCACUUAUAGAUGGAUCCGCGCUGCAUUAGCUAGUUGGUAAGGUAACGGCUUACCAAGGCAACGAUGCAUAGCCGAACUGAGAGGGGGAUCGGCCACACUGGAGCUGAGACGCGGUCCAGACUCCUACGGGAGGCAGCAGUAGGGAAUCGUCCGCAAUGGGCGAAAGCCUGACGGAGCAACGCCGCGUGAGUGAUGAAGGUCUUCGGAUCGUAAAACUCUGUUAUUAGGGAAGAACAUAUGUGUAAGUAACUGUGCACAGCUUGACGGUACCUAAUCAGAAAGCCACGGCUAACUACGUG